Molecule: ribosomal RNA, 742 nt
Filed under: uncultured delta proteobacterium TIHP368-09
Lineage: Bacteria; Deltaproteobacteria
Description: bacterial SSU rRNA
Rfam family: Bacterial small subunit ribosomal RNA
Source: RNAcentral
GGUAAGGCACCUUCGGGUGUACACGAGUGGCGCACGGGUGAGUAACGCGUGGGUAAUCUACCCUCAGGUCGGGGACAACUUCGGGAAACUGGAGCUAAUACCGGAUGAGCCCACGAGGCCUUCGGGCUUCGCGGGAAAAGAUGGCCUCUCCUUGGAAGCUAUCGCCAGGGGAUGAGCCCGCGUCCCAUUAGCUAGUUGGUGAGGUAACGGCUCACCAAGGUGACGAUGGGUAGCUGGUCUGAGAGGAUGAUCAGCCACACUGGAACUGAGACACGGUCCAGACUCUUACGGGAGGCAGCAGUCGGGAAUUUUGGGCAAUGGGCGAAAGCCUGACCCAGCAACGCCGCGUGAGGGAUGAAGGCCCUCGGGUCGUAAACCUCUGUCGGGAGGGAAGAACGUUCUCCGGACGAAUAAUCCGGGGGGCUGACGGUACCUCCAAAGGAAGCACCGGCUAACUCCGUGCCAGCAGCCGCGGUAAUACGGAGGGUGCGAGCGUUGUUCGGAAUUAUUGGGCGUAAAGCGCGUGUAGGCGGCUUGGUAAGUCGGGUGUGAAAGCCCGGGGCCCAACCCCGGAAUUGCAUUCGAUACUGCCUCGCUAGAGUNCCGGAGAGGAGAGCGGAAUUCCCGGUGUAGAGGUGAAAUUCGUAGAUAUCGGGAGGAACACCAGCGGCGAAGGCGGCUCUCUGGACGGUGACUGACGCUGAGACGCGAAAGCUGGGGGAGCAAACAGGAUUAGAUACCC